RNAcentral lists this ribosomal RNA (464 nucleotides) under uncultured bacterium. RNAcentral's name for it is "partial 16S ribosomal RNA". It matches the Rfam family "Bacterial small subunit ribosomal RNA", at positions 339 to 795 of the family's 1533-position model. The record is from RNAcentral.
CUACGGGAGGCAGCAGUGGGGAAUAUUGGACAAUGGGGGCAACCCUUAUCCAGCAAUGCCGCGUGUGUGAAGAAGGCCUGCGGGUUGUAAAGCACUUUCAAUAGGGAGGAAAAGCUUUGGGUUAAUACCCCGAAGUCUUGACGUUACCUUUAGAAGAAGCACCGGCUAACUCUGUGCCAGCAGCCGCGGUAAUACAGAGGGUGCGAGCGUUAAUCGGAAUUACUGGGCGUAAAGCGCGCGUAGGCGGUUUGAUAAGUCAGAUGUGAAAGCCCCGGGCUUAACCUGGGAACUGCAUUUGAUACUGUCAAACUAGAGUAUGGUAGAGGGGAGUAGAAUUCCUGGUGUAGCGGUGAAAUGCGUAGAUAUCAGGAGGAAUACCAGUGGCGAAGGCGGCUACCUGGACCAAUACUGACGCUGAGGUGCGAAAGCGUGGGGAGCAAACAGGAUUAGAUACCCUCGUAGUC